UUAAGCAAAGAAGAGCGCAGGGUGGAUGCCUUGGCACUAAGAGCCGAAGAAAGACGUGAUAAGCUGCGAAAAGCUGCGGGGAGAUGCAAAUAAUCCUUGAUCCGCAGAUGUCUGAAUGGGGAAACCCGGUACGAAGAACUCGUAUCAUCCAUACGCCAAUCCAUAACGUAUGGAGGGGAACCCGGUGAACUGAAACAUCUAAGUAGCCGGAGGAAGAGAAAGAAACAUCGAUUUUGUUAGUAGCGGCGAGCGAAAGCGAAAGAGGCCAAACCGGAGUGCGUGCACUCCGGGGUUCGGACCGCAUUUAAGAUUCAGUGAUUCUAGCAGAAAGGUUUGGGAAAGCCUGCCGGAGAGGGUGAAAGCCCCGUAAGCGAAAGGAAAACUGACUGAGCGGGAUCCAGAGUACAUCGAGACACGAGAAACCUUGAUGGAAUGAGCGGGGACCACCCCGUAAGCCUAAAUACUACUUAGUGACCGAUAGCGCAUAGUACUGUGAAGGAAAGGUGAAAAGGACCCCGGGAGGGGAGUGAAAGAGAACCUGAAACCCUGUGUUUACAAGCUGUGGAAGUUCUUUAAAUGAACAACCGCGUACUUUUUGUAGAACGGUCCGGCGAGUUGCGGAUACUGGCAAGGUUAAGCACUUAAGGUGCGGAGCCGAAGGGAUACCAAGUCUUAACAGGGCGUUAAGUCAGUAUACGCAGACCCGAAACCGGGUGAUCUAUCCAUGUCCAGGUUGAAGUUGUCGUAAAAGACAAUGGAGGACCGAAGCCACAUCCGUUGAAAAGGGUGGGCAUGAGGUGUGGAUAGGGGAGAAAUUCCAAUCGAACCCGGAGAUAGCUGGUUCUCCUCGAAAUAGCUUUAGGGCUAGCCUCGAUUUAGUCUUAUGGAGGUAGAGCACUGAAUUUCCGCGGGGGCGUCAAAGCUUACCAAAGAAUAUCAAACUCCGAAUGCCAUGUAGAUGAUGAUCGGGAGUCAGACUGCACGAGAUAAGUUGGGCAGUCAAAAGGGAAAGAGCCCAGACCACCGGCUAAGGUCCCAAAGUGCGUGUUAAGUGGAAAAGGAUGUGGGAAUUCGAAGACAACUAGGAUGUUGGCUCAGAAGCAGCCAUACAUUCAAAGAGUGCGUAACAGCUCACUAGUCGAGAGUUCCUGCGCCGAAAAUGUCCGGGGCUGAAACACGACACCGAAGCCGUGGACUCGCAAUGCGAGUGGUAGAGGAGCAUUCUUAAAACCGACGAAGCUGUACCGGAAGGAGCAGUGGAGGGAUAAGAAGAGAGAAUGCCGGAAUGAGUAGCGAGAGAAAGGUGGGAAUCCUUUCGGCCGAAUAUCUAAGGUUUCCAGAGUAAAGCUGAUCUGCUCUGGGUAAGUCGGGGCCUAAGCACAGGUCGCAAGACGUAAGCGAUGGAUAACAGGUUUAGAUUCCUGUACCACGCAUUAUCAGAACUGUAGGGACGCAUGUGGAAAGCACGAGCCGGGAAUGGAAAGACCGGUACAAGCGGGGUAGGUGUACAAUAGGCAAAUCCGUUGUAUAAUCCGAAGACGUGAUGUGGAGCGAAAUAAAGUAGUGAAGCGUGUGAGCCAUGUGCCGAGAAAAGCUGCUAUUGUGUAAUGCGUGCCCGUACCGUAAACCGACACAGGUGGAUGAGGAGAGAAUCCUAAGGCCGACGGAAGAAGCAUUGUUAAGGAAUUCGGCAAAAUGACCCCGUAACUUCGGGAGAAGGGGUGCCUGCGAGAGCAGGCCGCAGAGAAUAGGCUCAAGCAACUGUUUAGCAAAAACACAGGUCUAUGCGAAACCGAAAGGUGAAGUAUAUGGGCUGACGCCUGCCCGGUGCUGGAAGGUUAAGAGGAGAGGUUAGCGUAAGCGAAGCUUUGAAUUUAAGCCCCAGUAAACGGCGGCCGUAACUAUAACGGUCCUAAGGUAGCGAAAUUCCUUGUC
This 1935-nucleotide ribosomal RNA is filed under the name human gut metagenome. Its description in RNAcentral is "bacterial LSU rRNA". It matches the Rfam family "Bacterial large subunit ribosomal RNA", at positions 3 to 1973 of the family's 2925-position model. The record is from RNAcentral.